This is a long non-coding RNA of Galendromus occidentalis (western predatory mite), 377 nucleotides long. RefSeq lists it as uncharacterized. NCBI's taxonomy places the organism in Eukaryota, Metazoa, Arthropoda, Arachnida, Mesostigmata, Phytoseiidae. The record is from RefSeq and is a predicted model, not a curated record. The transcript has 2 exons.
GCUGCUGGUACACACUGGCUCUCCCUUGAUUGUCCCCGAAGUCACCUUCGUGAAAUUCAGGAAAAAUGAUCGGCCGAAGACUUCUGCAGGCGAGGAAUGUGGUCGCCAGGAAGAUCUCGACGACAGCCCCUCGACUCCAUGAUCACGAACCCUUCGGAGUGCUUGGAAGCAAUCUCCCGUUCAACAUGGAGAACCCGUGGACUCUUGCUAUUAAGAUGUCCUUAUUCUUCGGAUCGGGAUUCGUGAUUCCAUUCUUGACGGUGCGUCACCAGCUUCUCUCGUCGAGAGGAUAGAGUGGAGUCCAAACUCUAGAGUAACCCCGGCUGACAUUGGAGCCAUGUCGGCGAUAUUGUUCAAUAAACCAUAUUAAUAGCGUA